AACGAACGCUGGCGGCAGGCCUAACACAUGCAAGUCGAACGCCCCGCAAGGGAGUGGCAGACGGGUGAGUAACGCGUGGGAACGUACCCUUCGGUUCGGGAUAACUCAGGGAAACUUGAGCUAAUACCGGAUACGUCCGAGAGGAGAAAGAUUUAUCGCCGAGGGAUCGGCCCGCGUCUGAUUAGCUUGUUGGUGAGGUAACGGCUCACCAAGGCGACGAUCAGUAGCUGGUCUGAGAGGAUGAUCAGCCACAUUGGGACUGAGACACGGCCCAAACUCCUACGGGAGGCAGCAGUGGGGAAUAUUGGACAAUGGGCGCAAGCCUGAUCCAGCCAUGCCGCGUGAGUGAUGAAGGCCCUAGGUUGUAAAGCUCUUUUACCCGGGAAGAUAAUGACUGUACCGGGAGAAUAAGCCCCGGCUAACUUCGUGCCA
Molecule: ribosomal RNA, 432 nt
Filed under: uncultured bacterium
Lineage: Bacteria
Description: bacterial SSU rRNA
Rfam family: Bacterial small subunit ribosomal RNA
Source: RNAcentral